AGCAGCCGCGGUAAUUCCAGCUCCAAUAGCGUAUAUUAAAGUUGUUGCAGUUAAAAAGCUCGUAGUUGAAUUUCGGGAUCAAAUUGUCGGUCGUGCCUCGGUACGUACUGGCGUUAUUGGUUCCUACCUUCUGAAGAACCACGAUGUCAUUAAUUUGGUGUCGCGGGGAAUCAGGACUGUUACUUUGAAAAAAUUAGAGUGUUUAAAGCAGGCUCGCGCUUGAAUACAUUAGCAUGGAAUAAUGAAAUAGGACGUUUGAUUCUAUUUUGUUGGUUUCUAGGAUCGACGUAAUGAAUUAAUAGGGAUAGUUGGGGGCUAUUAGUAUUCAAUUGUCAGAGGUGAAAUUCUUGGAUUUAUGAAGACUAACUCUGACGAAAGCAUUUGCCAAGAUGUUUUCAUUAAU
This 403-nucleotide ribosomal RNA is filed under the name uncultured Glomus. Its description in RNAcentral is "SSU rRNA". It matches the Rfam family "Eukaryotic small subunit ribosomal RNA", at positions 569 to 977 of the family's 1831-position model. The record is from RNAcentral. Lineage: Eukaryota; Fungi; Glomeromycota; Glomeromycetes; Glomerales; Glomeraceae.